UAUAUUUUAGUGUAAGUUGCACAUUGAAUUUUGAUUUCAAAGGAUUAGUUUAAUUCUAAAAAAUAUAA
This 68-nucleotide transfer RNA is filed under the name Metrocoris sp. XD-2019. RNAcentral's name for it is "tRNA-Gln". Lineage: Eukaryota; Metazoa; Arthropoda; Insecta; Hemiptera; Gerridae. The record is from RNAcentral.